This 690-nucleotide long non-coding RNA is filed under the name Salmo salar (Atlantic salmon). RNAcentral's name for it is "lncRNA (ENSSSAG00000118994.1)". Lineage: Eukaryota; Metazoa; Chordata; Actinopteri; Salmoniformes; Salmonidae. The record is from RNAcentral.
CCCUAUUGAAAGGAGUGAUUACUGGGGUAGCAGUAAAUGUGAAGGGAGUUAUUACUGAGGUAGCAGUAAAUGUGAAGGGAGUUAUUACUGAGGUAGCAGUAAAUGUGAAGGGAGUUAUUACUGAGGUAGCAGUAAUUGUGAAGGGAGUUAUUACUGAGGUAGCAGUAAUUGUGAAGGGAGUUAUUACUGAGGUAGCAGUAAUUGUGAAGGGAGUUAUUACUGAGGUAGCAGUAAUUGUGAAGGGAGUUAUUACUGAGGUAGCAGUAAAUGUGAAAGUUGACCAACUGAAGGGGAAGAUUCCCAGUGUUUGUGAUGUUUGGUGCGACGCAGACAGAGUGGCAAAACAGAAGAGUCAUUUUGAUAUUGAGUCUUUGCCCGACCAAAUGACGUUAGGAUAUUUCAGUUAUACCGUACAAGCUUUUGUGCCGAAUACAUUAUAUUGUUACAGGUGUCAAGCUUAUGGGCAUGUGGCAGCAGUGUGUAGGAGGGAGGUUCCUAGGUGUGAGAAGUGCAUGAGACAAAGGAAUGUGUAGCUUUGGGGAAAGUAGUGGUAUGUGUUUAUUGUAGAGGUGCCCAUGGGGCUGGGGAUCAGAAAUGUCCGGUGAGAGAGAGGCAGGUUGAGGUUACCAGGGUUAGAAUAGUGCAGAAGUUGUCAUAUGCUGAGGCAGUGAAGAAAGUAGAGGAAGAUGG